AAUCUGGGGUCUCCGACCUCCGAGUUGUAAUUUGGAGAGGCAUCUUCUGGGGGGAGCGCCGGCCCAUGUUCCUUGGAACAGGACGUCACAGAGGGUGAGAAUCCCGUGCGCGGCCGGCUGCCUCCUCCCGCGUGAAGGGCCUUCGACGAGUCGAGUUGUUUGGGAAUGCAGCUCCAAGUGGGUGGUAAAUUUCAUCUAAGGCUAAAUACCGGCGGGAGACCGAUAGCGCACAAGUAGAGUGAUCGAAAGAUGAAAAGCACUUUGAAAAUAGAGUCAAAAAGUACGUGAAAUUGUUGAAAGGGAAGCGCUUGAGACCAGACUCAGGCCCGGGCAAACAUCUCUCCCCUCGGGGCCGUGCAAUUGCCUGGGGCUGGGCCAGCAUCAGUUGGUGUGGCGGGACAAAGGCGUGGGGAAUGUGGCUCCCCCUCGGGGAGUGUUAUUAGCCCCGCGCUCAAUGCCGCCGACGCCGACUGAGGACCGCGCCUCGGCUAGGAUGCUGGCUUAAUGGCCUCCAGCGACCCGUCUUGAAACACGGACCAAGGAGUCUAACAUCUAUGCGAGUGUUUGGGUGCCAAACCCUUGCGCGGAAUGAAAGUGAGCGGAGGUGGGAACCCCCCUGCGGGGCGCACCAUCGACCGAUCCUGAUGUCUUCGGAUGGAUUUGAGUA
This 667-nucleotide ribosomal RNA is filed under the name Helvella sp. RNAcentral describes it as "eukaryotic LSU rRNA". It matches the Rfam family "Eukaryotic large subunit ribosomal RNA", at positions 119 to 796 of the family's 3401-position model. The record is from RNAcentral. Lineage: Eukaryota; Fungi; Ascomycota; Pezizomycetes; Pezizales; Helvellaceae.